This 68-nucleotide transfer RNA is filed under the name Bacteriophage sp. RNAcentral describes it as "tRNA-OTHER". The record is from RNAcentral.
GUAGCUCAAGUCCAGUGGGUAGAGCGCUGGGUUAAAACUCAGAGGUUGGCAGUUCAAAUCUGUCCGCA